Molecule: ribosomal RNA, 492 nt
Filed under: uncultured bacterium
Lineage: Bacteria
Description: partial 16S ribosomal RNA
Rfam family: Bacterial small subunit ribosomal RNA
Source: RNAcentral
AGUGAACGCUGGCGGUAGGCCUAACACAUGCAAGUCGAACGGCAGCACAGUAAGAGCUUGCUCUUACGGGUGGCGAGUGGCGGACGGGUGAGGAAUACAUCGGAAUCUACUUUUUCGUGGGGGAUAACGUAGGGAAACUUACGCUAAUACCGCAUACGACCUACGGGUGAAAGCAGGGGAUCUUCGGACCUUGCGCGAUUGAAUGAGCCGAUGUCGGAUUAGCUAGUUGGCGGGGUAAAGGCCCACCAAGGCGACGAUCCGUAGCUGGUCUGAGAGGAUGAUCAGCCACACUGGAACUGAGACACGGUCCAGACUCCUACGGGAGGCAGCAGUGGGGAAUAUUGGACAAUGGGCGCAAGCCUGAUCCAGCCAUACCGCGUGGGUGAAGAAGGCCUUCGGGUCGUAAAGCCCUUUCGUUGGGAAAGAAAAGCAGCAGGUUAAUACCCCGCUGUUCUGACGGUACCCAAAGAAUAAGCACCGGCUAACUUCGUG